GGGUGUGUAGCUCAGUGGUAGAGCGGCUGGCUGCACAUCAGCCGGUCCUCGGUUUAAAUCUGGUCGCGCCUU
Molecule: transfer RNA, 72 nt
Filed under: Perkinsus marinus ATCC 50983
Lineage: Eukaryota; Perkinsozoa; Perkinsida; Perkinsidae
Rfam family: tRNA
About the family: Transfer RNA (tRNA) molecules are approximately 80 nucleotides in length. Their secondary structure includes four short double-helical elements and three loops (D, anti-codon, and T loops).
Source: Rfam by way of RNAcentral